GUUUUAGUGACAAAGGAAUAACAAUACAGGACUUUUUGGUUUUGUAAUUGGAAUGAGUUAAGUAUAAACCCCUUUACAAGUAUCAAUUGGAGGGCAAGUCUGGUGCCAGCAGCCGCGGUUAUUCCAGCUCCAAUAGCGUAUAUUAAAGUUGUUGCAGUUAAAAAGCUCGUAGUUGGAUUUCUGUUAAUAAUUUAUAUAAAAUAUUUUGAUGAAUAUUUAUAUAAUAUUAACAUAAUUCAUAUUACUAUAACGGUGGUUGAUUUUUGUUGACUGA
This 274-nucleotide ribosomal RNA is filed under the name Cryptosporidium parvum. Its description in RNAcentral is "partial small subunit ribosomal RNA". It matches the Rfam family "Eukaryotic small subunit ribosomal RNA", at positions 461 to 734 of the family's 1831-position model. Lineage: Eukaryota; Apicomplexa; Conoidasida; Eucoccidiorida; Cryptosporidiidae. The record is from RNAcentral.